This 415-nucleotide ribosomal RNA is filed under the name Synalpheus brevicarpus. Its description in RNAcentral is "partial 16S ribosomal RNA". It matches the Rfam family "Bacterial large subunit ribosomal RNA", at positions 1928 to 2555 of the family's 2925-position model. The record is from RNAcentral. Lineage: Eukaryota; Metazoa; Arthropoda; Malacostraca; Decapoda; Alpheidae.
GGACUGCGGUAAUUUGACCGUGCAAAGGUAGCAUAAUCAAUAGUCUUUUAAUUGGAGGCUUGGAUGAAAGGUUUGACGGAUGAGGAGCUGUCUCUUUAGUUGUGUUGAACUUAACGUUUGUGUGAAAAGGCAUUAAUGGUUUAGGGGGACGAUAAGACCCUAUAAAACUUAACAUGUGUGGUGUUAGCUUUUGGAGUUGUUCUGUAAUCAUAAGGUGACUGGGUGUGUUUUGCUGGGGCGGCACGAAUAUAAUUUGUAACUGUUUUAGGAAAAAAAUAUUGAUUAAUAGAUUUUGGUCCUUUAUUAGGGAGUUAAGAGUAAGUUACUUUAGGGAUAACAGCGUAAUUUUUCUUGAGAGUUCUUAUCGAAGGAAGUAGUUGUGACCUCGAUGUUGAAUUAAAUUUUCCCUUUGGUG